UUAAUUCCAUGCACUUUGGGCACCUGCAAAUAAUAAAAUGUUGUAAAAGAAUGGGAAAUCUGAGGAUAAGAGAAUUGGAAGCAUACAAGUUCACUCAAUGAAGUUUCAAAUCAAUUGAAAAAGUAUGAGUCAAUUAGAACCGAAGCACAAAAUCUCAAUCUCAGUAAGGAAACACACGAAAUUAAAAUAUGUAUGUCAACUGCCGCAAAGUUACUAUUAUGGUUGAGUUAUACCAGUUCGAUUUCAAUAUCAAAGCACCAAAAUGGCCAUAAGUUAAAAUUAUGUUUAUUGAAAUAAAUUCAGAACAAAUAAUCCAAAUUAAAUAGAUAAACAUAGCAAAUUACAUAUUGAAGAUGCACUGGCUUCCCGCAUUGAACACACGAU
This 384-nucleotide unclassified non-coding RNA is filed under the name Hevea brasiliensis (rubber tree). Lineage: Eukaryota; Viridiplantae; Streptophyta; Magnoliopsida; Malpighiales; Euphorbiaceae. The record is from RNAcentral.